GACGAACGCUGGCGGCGUGCUUAACACAUGCCAGUCGAACGGAAAGGCCCUGCUUUUGUGGGGUUCUCGAGUGGCGAACGGGUGAGUAACACGUGAGUAACCUGCCCUUGACUUUGGGAUAACUUCAGGAAACUGGGGCUAAUACCGGAUAGGAGCUCCUGCUGCAUGGUGGGGGUUGGAAAGUUUCGGCGGUUGGGGAUGGACUCGCGGCUUAUCAGCUUGUUGGUGGGGUAGUGGCUUACCAAGGCUUUGACGGGUAGCCGGCCUGAGAGGGUGACCGGCCACAUUGGGACUGAGAUACGGCCCAGACUCCUACGGGAGGCAGCAGUGGGGAAUAUUGCACAAUGGGCGGAAGCCUGAUGCAGCAACGCCGCGUGCGGGAUGACGGCCUUCGGGUUGUAAACCGCUUUCGACUGUGACGAAGCGUGAGUGACGGUAAUGGGUAAAGAAGCACCGGCUAACUACGUG
This 468-nucleotide ribosomal RNA is filed under the name uncultured bacterium. RNAcentral describes it as "partial 16S ribosomal RNA". It matches the Rfam family "Bacterial small subunit ribosomal RNA", at positions 28 to 507 of the family's 1533-position model. The record is from RNAcentral.